AACAAGGAUUCCCCUAGUAACGGCGAGUGAACCGGGAAGAGCUCAAAUUUGUAAUCUGGCCUUUGGUCCGAGUUGUAAUCUAUAGAGGCGUUUUCCGCGCUGGAUCGUGUCCAAGUCUCUUGGAACAGAGUAUCAAAGAGGGUGAUAAUCCCGUACUUAACACGACCACCAGUGCUAUGUGAUACGUCUUCUACGAGUCGAGUUGUUUGGGAAUGCAGCUCAAAAUGGGUGGUAAAUUCCAUCUAAAGCUAAAUAUUGGCGAGAGACCGAUAGCGAACAAGUACCGUGAGGGAAAGAUGAAAAGCACUUUGGAAAGAGAGUUAAACAGUACGUGAAAUUGUUGAAAGGGAAACGAUUGAAGUCAGUCGUGUUCAUUGGACUCAGCCGGUUCUGCCGGUCUACUUCCUUUGAACGGGUCAACAUCAGUUUCGUCUGGUGGAUAAGGGCAGGAGGAAUGUGGCACCCUCGGGUGUGUUAUAGCCUCUUGUCGCAUACACUGGGUGAGACUGAG
Molecule: ribosomal RNA, 511 nt
Filed under: Bullera formosensis (nom. inval.)
Lineage: Eukaryota; Fungi; Basidiomycota; Tremellomycetes; Tremellales; Bulleraceae
Description: LSU rRNA
Rfam family: Eukaryotic large subunit ribosomal RNA
Source: RNAcentral